Molecule: ribosomal RNA, 254 nt
Filed under: uncultured bacterium
Lineage: Bacteria
Description: partial 16S ribosomal RNA
Rfam family: Bacterial small subunit ribosomal RNA
Source: RNAcentral
UACGUAGGGUGCGAGCGUUGUCCGGAAUUAUUGGGCGUAAAGAGCUCGUAGGCGGUUUGUCGCGUCUGCUGUGAAAACCUAAGGCUCAACCUUGGGCUUGCAGUGGGUACGGGCAGACUAGAGUGCGGUAGGGGUGACUGGAAUUCCUGGUGUAGCGGUGGAAUGCGCAGAUAUCAGGAGGAACACCGAUGGCGAAGGCAGGUCACUGGGCCGCAACUGACGCUGAGGAGCGAAAGCAUGGGGGAGCGAACAGG